CCAAAGGCUCUUUUCAGAGCCACCCACACUUUCAGUAAAAGAGUGG
Non-coding RNA from Gallus gallus (chicken), 46 nucleotides. NCBI's taxonomy places the organism in Eukaryota, Metazoa, Chordata, Aves, Galliformes, Phasianidae. The record is from Rfam.